CCUCUCCCAGGGCCUGGCUCAGGUGGAACAGCCACUGUGAUGUGCAUCCUCACAGGGGCCAGAGUGUAAAAGGAAGCACAUGCAAAAGAAAAAAGCAACACCGAAAAACGGAAAGCAACGGAAAACAAACAAAUGUGACUGUAUAUCAAGAUUUCUUCCACGGGACACAGAGCACAAGCCAUAAAGGGAAAACUUGAAAGACCCGCUUCAUCAAAGCACCGGCUCUUCAAAAGGGGAAGAAAAAAUGCUUAGCCACAGGCAGGAAGACAAUAUUUGCAGUACAGGUAUCCAGACUGUAAAAGAACUCCAACUACUUUAUUCUACUUUA
Panthera uncia (snow leopard) is the source of this 328-nucleotide long non-coding RNA. RefSeq lists it as uncharacterized. NCBI's taxonomy places the organism in Eukaryota, Metazoa, Chordata, Mammalia, Carnivora, Felidae. The transcript has 2 exons. The record is from RefSeq and is a predicted model, not a curated record.